Molecule: long non-coding RNA, 771 nt
Organism: Balaenoptera musculus (blue whale)
Lineage: Eukaryota; Metazoa; Chordata; Mammalia; Artiodactyla; Balaenopteridae
Exons: 3
Source: RefSeq, a predicted model, not a curated record
GUGUUCUUGCUGACGCGCUUCUUGAAUGUGUCAGCAAAAGGAGAGAACUUCUCGUACGUGGGCGCAGGUUAAAGAAACAACCGUCCUCACAGAACCGUCUCCCUGCACUCCCAGGCUUGCCUCUCUGUUGGGAUCAACCCAAGGUUCCUGUGACCGCUGAAACGCUGAAGGCUGCAUCGCUGAGCUCAGGCAGAGAAAGCUUCAGAGGCUGCCUGCACAUCUGCCCUUCAAGCACCUGGCUACUUCCUCCCUGAGGCCGCGGGUUCCACCUUGAGGGUCACGACUUCUCGCUGCCCUCGUGUUCACCAAGCCUCCAGACACUUCUAUGGCUCCAUACCGCCUGCUCUCUGGAAGGAGCCAUGCACCAGGGACGGCGCCGAGGGCCGGCAGCACACAGGACCCACUGGCCAGCUGCGCCCAGGAUCUCAACGCUGCAACACGCCCGUUACCAUGCCUGAAGCGCCAAGCAGGGCAGAUGCUGAGGUGCCGAGUCAGAGAGGCCUGGGGGGCACUCUCCCUCCAAGCUGCCAGACGGGUCACUUAACCUCUCUGAACUUCAGUUUCCUUAAUUACACAGUAGGAAAUAGUAUCAUGGUGCCACAUAACAAAUGGUAGUGAUGUGUGUAUAAAAUGGUAUAGCGGAGCGAGAUUACCCAUGCAAUCGCUCAGCAUCAUAACCGACACCAGGACGUUCUCAGCAAGUGUGAGUUACUAUCAUUCGCUGACCCAGGCCGCUGAGCCACUGAAGGUGUGAGGCGGGAGAGAAUGAAG